This 777-nucleotide ribosomal RNA is filed under the name Kushneria pakistanensis. RNAcentral describes it as "bacterial SSU rRNA". It matches the Rfam family "Bacterial small subunit ribosomal RNA", at positions 75 to 846 of the family's 1533-position model. The record is from RNAcentral. Lineage: Bacteria; Pseudomonadati; Pseudomonadota; Gammaproteobacteria; Oceanospirillales; Halomonadaceae.
GUAGCUUGCUACCCGCUGACGAGCGGCGGACGGGUGAGUAAUGCAUGGGAAUCUGCCCGGUAGUGGGGGAUAACUCGGGGAAACCCGAGCUAAUACCGCAUACGUCCUACGGGAGAAAGCAGGGGAUCUUCGGACCUUGCGCUAUCGGAUGAGCCCAUGCCGGAUUAGCUUGUUGGUGAGGUAAUGGCUCACCAAGGCAACGAUCCGUAGCUGGUCUGAGAGGAUGAUCAGCCACACCGGGACUGAGACACGGCCCGGACUCCUACGGGAGGCAGCAGUGGGGAAUAUUGGACAAUGGGGGAAACCCUGAUCCAGCCAUGCCGCGUGUGUGAAGAAGGCCUUCGGGUUGUAAAGCACUUUCAGUGGGGAAGAAUGCCUUGUGGUUAAUACCCGCGAGGAAGGACAUCACCCACAGAAGAAGCACCGGCUAACUCCGUGCCAGCAGCCGCGGUAAUACGGAGGGUGCAAGCGUUAAUCGGAAUUACUGGGCGUAAAGGGCGCGUAGGCGGCUCGUCAAGCCGGAUGUGAAAGCCCCGGGCUCAACCCGGGAACGGCAUUCGGAACUGGCUGGCUAGAGUGCAGGAGAGGAAGGUGGAAUUCCCGGUGUAGCGGUGAAAUGCGUAGAGAUCGGGAGGAAUACCAGUGGCGAAGGCGGCCUUCUGGACUGACACUGACGCUGAGGCGCGAAAGCGUGGGUAGCAAACAGGAUUAGAUACCCUGGUAGUCCACGCCGUAAACGAUGUCGACCAGCCGUUGGACCCCUUGAGGGUUUGGUGG